GACCCCAGCCGCCCAGCGACCCCACCCAAACCGCCGUCCGUGAAGCCAGUCGAAGCGUGCGUCGGGCGUCGGGGUCAAGGCACGAAAUUAUACGCCUAACGCUCUCUUCCUAAUGAUAGUGUCUUGUGUAUAAGGUCUAGCUCAACAUCAGCAACAAGAUGAGGUUGCAUUCAGCGCCAGUUUUCCUCUUGUUGCUGGUCCAUGUACUCUCUGCACCCAGUCGGCCCAGAGACAUUCCCAAUGCAGAAGCAGAGUUGCAUCUCCCGACGACGCGAGAGGACUCCACAGGCGGCGGCUUCUUGCAGUCCAUCUUGCAGACCUUGAAUCCGUUUUCCAGUAGGAAGAGCAGAGACUUAGAUAAUUACUUAACCUCGUUUAAGAAGAGGCUCGUUCGAGAAGCCAGUGACCUCGCAUCGCUCUACGUCAAGGCGGCCUCUGACGUCUAUCCCGUGCGAGGCGGACGAGAGCGACGCCAGCCGGAACGCAGCCCUGAAAAGGACUUUCGGCUCAGCCCGCGAGCGAAGAGAGACCACCCGCUGGAAUGGCCGCUCUACGAGGACUCUGACAGUGUUCCCGUGUUGGCCGAGGUGGCGGCCUCUGGCUCCUUUGGCUUCAGCGGAGGCUCCCAGAAGAUCUAUAUGACGUCGUGGCACAAUCGCUCUUUCGUGGCUGUCAUCGGGAACUCCAGGAAUGUCUCCCUCUACACGCUCGAUUCCCAGACGCUGCAGGCAACUCUUUGGGAUACCGUCACCGGAGACGUGGCUUGUGACUUCGGCGUCGUCACCAAGGACAGGCUGCUCCUGACGUGCGUCGAGAACACCACCACUUCCUCGCUGGUCAACGUUUACCAGGUCCUUGAGGAGACCGAAGGUGGAGAUGUGUCGCUCCGGCAUCACCAGGUCAUCCGGGCCGAGCACCCCAUUGAUGUGAAGAUGUGGACGCAACUGGACACCCCGAUCCUGAUGGUGGCCGAAUCCCUCAAGAAGGUCAACGUCAGCGUGGAGACGGGCUCGGGGACGUCGGAGGUGCAGAUGGCCAACUACGAGACGGUGUCCUUCGUGUACGAGUGGGCCGGCGAGUACUUCGACGCCAUCCAGCAGCUCCCCGGGACGCGGCCCAACUCCGUGGCUCACAUCAGGAUCCACAGCGCUCACUUCAUCGCCAUGGCCAACUUCGUCGAUAAUAAAGGUCGUCACAACAUCUACAGCACAAUCUACAAGUACUCCCUGAACGUGGGUCACUUUGUCCCCUUCCAGCGCAUCCUCACCAAGGGCGCCUACCACUUCGAGACCUUUGUCCUGGGCACUGGCUUCGGCUCGGAUACCUUUCUGGCGGUGGCCAAUCACUGCGAGGACAAUGUCAAAGGUGGUUGCAAUCCUCAUACGAACUCUCAGAUCUACCGAUAUCGUCUUGGCAAAUUUAUUCUUUACCAAGACAUCCCAACGUCCUAUGCUGUGGCCUGGCUCGCUAUUCAGGUGGGCGGCAACGUCAUCCUCGCCCUGGCCAGCUCCAGGACGGGCGUGACCUUCUACCAGUUCGACGGGUGGACCUUCGUGAAAAGCACCACCCAGUACAGUGGCGGCGCCAUGAAUGAGGGCGUGAAUUCCUUGGCCAUGCUUCCUCUACCCGACAGCAUUAUCAUGGGAGUCAGCAACCGCGAUCCAGACAAGGUGGGACGUGGAGGAUCCAAUCUCUUCACCCUGGCCUUCACCUACACGAAUUCUCUCGAUAACUACCACCAGCGAGCUGAAGAAUGGUGUCAGAAGCGACGCGGUGACACCAAGGAGCAGGAUGUCGCCGAUUUGCAGUCCCGCGUAGCCUCGGCUCCUCGUACUACCUCGGGCUACGUCUUCAAGCAGCACGUUACGAUCACAGCUGAUCUGACAGUGAGCCACACGGCAAAUGUUACUUCGAUUCACGUGACGGAACCCAACCUGCACAUACCUGCCGACUGGAGGCGCCUGGCUGACCUUCACGAGAACGUCGAAGAGGCGGCUUCCUAUGUCGCGGCCAAGAUGAACGACUCGAUCUUCAUCAACUCGCCUCAAACCUGGCCAGCUGAUCUCCAUUUCGCCGACCUGAAAGUCGAGAGUGAGAGCGAGGUCGAUAACCUCUCUGUGAACGAGGUCAAUGGGCUGACCUGGCCCGCAGAUGACGACGUCAUAAGACUUGCAGGAGCGUCUUACUCGGCACUCCAUUCCCUCUCCUUCGAGCACGUGGAAGCCAAGGUGGACACGCGCGUCACGAACCUGACAGGACUUCCCUUCUCUUCGUACGUCACCCUCCACGGCAGCCACAACAUCACGGGCAACACCAGCUUCCUCGGGGUCGUGAGGACGCCUGCCAUCGAGGCCACGUCAGGGCAUGUGGACGACCUCCUUGUGAGACACUCGUCCGUCUUAACCACGGUUGGCCAGCAAGAGUUCACAGGAGCUUUCACGUGCCAGAGUGUAAACGCUUUAGAGAUGGAUGCAGGGACACUGAAUGGCAUUAACGUCAACCAGUUCCAAUAUGAUGUCAUCACUGUAGAUGGAAAUCAUACUAUAUAUGGUGCCUUAAGUGUGCAAGAACUUGUAUAUCAGGACCAUUUAGAGGCAGAUGUAUCAGCGAGCAUUGAUCUCGUUAAUCCGCUAAGGACAGAUGUUGCAGUUUCCCAGGAAAUUACAGCCGUACACAAGCUCGGAAGCCUAGAAGUAGAAUACCUUGUAGUGGGAGGAAAGGUCAACUCCGUAAAGAUCCCUGAAGAGGUCUUCGUCAACGGUUCAGAUUACUUUGUGGGAUCAUCCUCUUUCGACAAUUUGGAGGCCACAUCCGUCCAGAUCACCAAGAGCCUUGAUCAGAUCACUGUGAGCAACAAGAAGCUAAACAUUCUACAGACUUUCAAUGCUCAAGUGGUGACUGCUCCAAAGACCUUCACAGAGUUUCACUUGGCUGACACUUUUCUCAAACCCUUGUUGAAAAGGCCACGACGAAAUAUUCCAAACGAGUGUGAACUUUCGUCCUCUUCAGGAAUCACAGAUUUUGAGGACCACUUUGAGAGAUUAAGGGGGCUCUUGCAAGGCUUAUCAAUGACGAAGGAGCUUUUGCUGUUGCUUCAAGAUGUGCAGCCUGAGAAAAAAGCACGGGUUCCUAUGUAUGCUGCUGAUUUCUAUGCCGUGCUCUUGGAUGAGGAUGUCGGUAUUCCUUGUACUCUUGUACGAAGUGGUAUCGUCUUUUCCGAGAUGUUGGAAUUGAAGCAGGUAUACAAAGCCAGCGUGACGGUGGUGCCUUAUGUGGAAAGAACUUGGAGUGCUGACGAACUCUCUCAGAUGAUUUUGAAACUUGAAGAAUAUUUGGAAGACUUCAAAGAGCUUUUCAUUUCGAAUGCCUCUGAUUCAAUGACCUGGUCCAAACUGGGGCAGUUCUCCCAGCAUGUUAGACAACAAAUGGCUCAGACUAUCGAGAGGGAUCUUCCACUUCUAACAUUAAUAAAGAAACUGUUUGAUUCUAAAAACUCCCAUCGAUUGAUCAACCCAGUCUUUAGUUUCUGUGAAUUUUUGUGUCCUGUGACCAAUGAUGAAAGUGUCUGUCACCCUGGUAUCCUGGUCAUUAGGAACCUCAUCAGGAGAAUUGCCUCUUAUCCCUCGGCUUUAGAGACUGUGACAGCCCCAAGACAGAAACAAGAGAAAGCCCAAUUGGUUAGCUUGGUAGUGAUAGAAAGGGAUCUUGAGGCAUUGCUCGAUUACUUGUCCAUUGAUGAGCGUCUCCAGGAAAGUCUCCACAUAGCAAGCCUGUGUGGUUUUUCCAAAAUGUGGGAGAAGAAAGAUGACGAUGAGAAUACAGCCUUGGAAAUUUUAUUGGCAUACGAAAAUGAACUUGAGAACACCUUUCACCUGAGAAGACCGAAAAGGCAUAUUGAUGAUGGUGUGCUGCCCACCACAACGGACGAAGUGAAGGACUCCCAGUCAGUUGUUACUGAUGGGUCAACAGAAGACACCACUGGCACCUCCAACUUCAGGGCUCUCAGUAACUUCGCUGGAGGCGAGUUUGACGCAAGUAUCUCCUCAGUUCCUCCUGAUGAAUCUUCACAAAUAUGGAAUAGUCUGUCAGGUUACUUAAUUAACUUGGAGAACUUUGUGAAUACAGUUUAUAAACUUGAUGGCCCAUUUAUUGAUACAGCCAAUGAUGAAAUAAGAAAAAUUAUUCAUAUGAACAUUGACUACCUACAAGCUUUGGAUUCUGACCUAGAUGUUGGCCUUGAGAAUGCAUCUCUUCUUGAACGUUUGUCUGAAAGCCUCAUACUAGGUAAAGAACUAAUGAUGAAUUAUCGCAUAACACCUGAUGUGGCCAAUUCUGUUGAACGGAUGAGGAAAUUGCCCUGGAUUCGUCACCUUAUGUAUAAAAUAAAUGAGCAAAUAGGGUCCAGACCGAAUGCUUCUACACUUGUAAAGCCAAGUAUUGACACUGGAAUGGGGCCGAUGAUGCCAGUGACAUAUGAUUACGUUAAGAUUAUCAAUAAUGUUUUCCAUAAUUUGUCACAAACGCCAAUGGCUGAAGACAAUGAAGAAGAUCGCAGACAACGCAUACUGCUCUUGGAGGCAGUGGCAGAACAGUUGAUUGAAGCAAAACGCUCUAUGUACUUGUCCCGGCAUGCUCGAGAGAUCAAAGAUGAAGUAAAACUCAUUGAUACUUUGAAAAACAUCUUGAAAAAAUUACUUUUAAGUGUACGAUCGUAUACAUAUACUACAGCAAACAUUAUCAAUAAAUAUAGGGAGGAGUUGCUGCAGAUAUCCAAGCAAAUGGGUUCGGUUAACUUAGAUAUUGAAAAUAUAUCUCGCACACAGUUUUGGGAAAUAGAAUGGUUGAAGGACCAGAUGAUUGAGGACAUGGAAUACUGCAAGGAAGAGGGACCAUUAAUGUCUAGAAAUAUAGAUUGUAAACCCCUUUUGAAUUCAGAUUUGUCCCACACAGAUAUGAUCUUCCCUUUUCUGUCCUUUCCAGCGGACAAGGAACCAGACUUUGAGGUGACUGAAUUGCUGGAUGAAAACAGUAUGCAGUACCUCUCUGCAGUACUUGUUUUCCUUAAUGUGAUUGAGGCUGGGCUCCCUCUACAAACCAAAGUUACAGAGUCACAAACUGGUUUACCUGUUAUAAUGGGUUUUGUGUCAGAUGAGUUGGACUCUGUGGUGAAUAUUUUAAUUGACCUUGAACAUGAUAUUUGGAACAUUGGAGGAGGAAAGUAUGACAGCUACCUUACAAAGAAAGUAAAAAAUUUCCUGGUUGCGUGUGAUCUUGUUGAGAAAUAUUCUGAGCAUGUGACUGAGGUGGUGUUUCUUAAAAUGAACAAGAUCCUCCAUCUUGUCACUAAUGUUAGACACCUAGUAUUCCAAGCAUCUUUCAUUCAAGAAAAUCCAAAAAAAUCUACAGAGGAGCGGGUAUUUCUUCCAGCUGGUAGGAGUGAUGCAGGGGAAAGUGAUGUGCUUAAUAUUGCUAAUCCUAUAAAUUCCAUUCCUGGUGAAUUUAAUAUGGAUGACUUAUCUGAAGUUUGUUCUAACAUUACAAUAGCCAUCUCUGAGGAUAUAAUACAAUUUAAUCGCUUAAGAGAUAUUUUGGGUACCAUUCAAAAUCACUUGAAAUCAUUGAUUUCCCUCUGGCCAAUCCAAGUUAAAGUGAGUAACCAUUUCAGAUUGGGUUACUCCUACUUAUCAAGCCAGUCAAAGAUUGUCAAAACAACCCUAGCAAAGUUAAAAAGUAACUUAAUGGGGACUAUCACCUCAAAAGAAGAAGAGUUUUCAACAAAUAUUUUCAAGAACUUUGCAAAUAUAUUAACAUUUGCAGAAAAUUCUCAAAUUAGCAUAAAAAAUGAGACCAUUGUAAGACUGGAUGCCAUCUAUAUGGAAGGUUCAGCAGUAUUAGAGGUUGUUUCUGAAGCGUUAUCUUGUUUGAAAGUAAUUCAUAAGUUGACUGCAGGGACUGAACUCGAUUUGCAACAUAAACCAACAUCUUCCUCUACACAUGAACCAGCCUUUUACACGGGUUAUUCUUCACAUGCCUCUUUGAUGCACAAAGCAGAAUCAUCUACAUCCCCUUCCUCAAGUCAAAUGUCAUUAUCCCUACCUCAAGUAGAGAACACUAUCUCAGAGCAAGUAAAAUCGUCAUUUACUUCUACCUCACAGGUAAAAACUGUUUAUCCCAAACCAAGAAUUUCAGUUGGUUGUUCAGAGUUUCAAGCUCAGGUAGAAUCUGAAGAACACAAAGUAUUACUCGAAAACUUGAAGGCAGCCAAAGAUUAUUUACAAAUUUUGGUUGCCAUUAAGCCUUUUACCAUAGAGAAGGGUAAAAUGGAAGUAAAGAAAAUUACUGCGUUCCUUGACAGAGUUGUUCCGAAGGCUGCUUCUGUUUUGCGCGCACUUGAUGAGGCAACUAUUGAAAAAGAAAUGCUAUGGAGUGGAAGUAUUUCACUAUUUGAGGCUAAGGGUCUAGCUACUAUGUUAAAACAUGUUAAUGAGUAUUCUCUCAUCCUUCCACAAGCUGUAGUGCAAGAGGUUCGAUAUAUGAUGGAUCAGUCAGCUACCAUUUUGGAGAAAAUAACUAUUUUAUCAGAAUGCCUUCAAAGGCCAAAGAUAAAGUCUGCUACUGUAUCCCCACUUACCAUAGCCUCCCAUGAUGUUACAUCAUCCCAACAUGAUGCCACCACAAUAUUGAAUGACACUACAAUCCCACAUAGAACUACACAAAUGGUUAUCACACAGUUGCAUGAUGACACCACCCCAUACCCAAAAGAUGAUGCCAUGGACCUACAGGAUACCACUGCAUAUUUUCAUGGCAUCACUUCAUCCCCACAUGCUUACAUGAUAUCCCCACAUCAAAGCACCCCAUUCCUACAUACAACCACCACCAGAUCAGUGUUUGACACCAAGAACUCGAGAGAGCUUCUCUACUAUCUUGAGAAAUCAUUGAAAUAUCUUCAGACCCUAAAUUCAUCGCUACCAUGGAAUCUGCAUCCUACAGCACCUCAGGACCUGGGCUUCCCUAGCUACCUGAAGACAGUUUCAGCUUCGAUCCUUGAGAAUCUGGAGUUGCUUGCAAAAGAACCUAUUCAACUUGAGAACCUGAGGUCUGUCUUCCACUUGCGGGCAGCGCAGUUUGCUCGGAUGAUGCGUUAUGCGAAGUCUUCCAAAAACUUACAGAUUUCGAAAGCAUUCCAGGAGCAGCUUGAUCACAUGGCUCAACUAUUACAAUAUUCCUUGACAAGAGUGACUGAAACUAUUGAUGCUCUGAAAGGAGAAAGUCCCACCUCUCUCGCUGCUAGUCCCACCUUCUCUCCCGCCGCUAGUCCCACCUUCUCUCCCGCCGCUAGUCCCACCUUCUCUCCCGCCGCUAGUCCCACCUUCUCUCCCGCCGCUAGUCCCACCACCUCUCCCGCCGCUAGUCCCACCACCUCUCCCGCCGCUAGUCCCACCACCUCUCCCGCCGCUAGUCCCACCACCUCUCCCGCCGCUAGUCCCACCACCUCUCCCGCCGCUAGUCCCACCACCUCUCCCGCCGCUAGUCCCACCACCUCUCCCGCCGCUAGUCCCACCACCUCUCCCGCCGCUAGUCCCACCACCUCUCCCGCCGCUAGUCCCACCACCACUCUCGCCGCUAGUCCCACCACCACUCUCGCCGCUAGUCCCACCACCUCUCCCGCCGCUAGUCCCACCACCACUCCCGCCGCUAGUCCCACCACCUCUCCCGCCGCUAGUCCCACCACCUCUCCUAUCAGUACCAGUACCUCUACCACAACACCAAGCUUGUGGGAGAAACUAGUGGCUCAUCACGAAGAGAAGACCAAAGUACUCACCACCCUGAAAGAAUUCCAAGAACAGCUCCUUAUGUUAACGAACCUGCAGACGUUGAGUUCUAUUACUUCGUCUCCUACCUCCUCACACACUAUCAAAACCCGCCGGGCUGUUCCUUCAGACCCGCUGGAGGCAAUGGCUGCCACACUUGAAGUUGCCAGAGGUAUACUUAAGACACUCUCCAGCCUACCCACCUCAAACAGUACUCCAGUAUAUGAACGAGUGGUAAACGAGCUGCAGGAAUUGGUCCUGCAGUACAACGGCAGUUCCUCUAGCAUUACUCCAGUGACAGAGGAUGAUUUGCUCAGAAUCCGCACUCUGGCAUCGGAACUCCUUCCUACUGUCGUCGAGGUGAUUCUGCUGCUAGAGACUGAGAUUGCCCAACUGGAAGACGAGAUCGAAGCCGUGGAGGAUGAGCUUCUUGGCCCGAUAUUGGAAGGCUAUCAUGUAGGUCCACCGCUUCCAAUGUCCACCAGUUUCAAUGCACCUUCAGAGAUUCAGAACUUGCUGCCAUCUUCCUCGCGGGUUCAUGGCCUAGUUUCCGGCUACAAGAUCGAGCUCGUGGCAUCGUCCCUUCGGCAGCCGUUCGAUGUGGGAGACAACGUGACAGAAUUCCUUGUAAACAACAUGGACAAAAUCAGGGACGUCGACUUCAGAUCCCACCUGCAUUCAGGCGAUGUGAACGGGGUGAACGUCACGCGGCUGAGGGAGUCCGGCGUGGCCCUGGACGCCGCUAGGGUAAACGUUUCGCUAACGUUUCUCCAACACGUCGAGGUGGCUGGGAAUGUGACUGCACAAAGUAUUAACGGCGUGCCGGCUGGAGAUUACGUCACCAAGGAUGGGAUGUUCGUCUUUGGCGCUCCUCUUCAGUUUGUGGGCGGUGCAAUGAUGAAAGAAGACGUGACUGUCACUUCGACCGUCAAUGACGUCGAUCUCAGCAACGUGACCUUGAGGAUGGCCAAGGUCAAGGGCACGAAGGCCUUCCAAACCGACCUCGUCUUUGGACACGUGGAUACUGAAAGUGUGAAUUCCCCUCGCGUGACCGUCUCAGGAGUUCGCUUUAGGGACACCGUGAAGAAGAAUGAGUCUGCGAUCAUUACAGGAUCCAAGACCUUCCUGGGAAACGUCGAGGUGAAGUCGGGUCCGGUGCAGGCUGGCGACGUCACUGCGGAGACUGUGGACGGCUCCAACGUCACCGAUUUAAUCUUCGGGUCGUUGAGGAAGAGCCUCGGUGAUCUGCAAGUGAUUAAGGGAGGUUUCAAAAUCCGUUCACUCAAGAUAGAGAAGAAUUUGUCAACGCGCGGCUUCACUGUUUUGCCGCGGGACGAUAGUGUUCCUUUCUUUAUGAAUUUCACCAGCUUUUCUCGUCACGUGGUGUAUAGAGAUGAAGACUGUGUUAUCAACGGCGACCUCCUCCUCUUUGGGAACACUGAAGUCCGCAAUUUAGGUUUCCAUGAUACGUUCGACGAUGUUCCGUUCACCCGCUACGAGGACGGAUGGCUGCUGCAGAAGGGCAACCAGACGCUAAAGGGACACUUGACCGUCGCCUCCGUGAUGAAUGCACAGCGGGUCGUGACCUUGCCCGGUGUCACGGUCCAGGGCGUUGACGUUGACUUUCUGAACCUCUUUGCCAUGAUGGUUGAUGAACCCGAGACCUUCGUCGGUCCUGUUGGCUUUGAACUCCUCACUUCGGCGAGCCCAGUGGUCGUGGACGGGCGUGUUCAGGGCUGGGACCUCUCCGCCGAAGGCAUUGUUCAGUCGACGUCCGACUCCUCCGGGGGGCGUGUCCUCGUCUUCACCGGAACCAAGAACUUCCUCGGAGACGUGUUUUACGGUGCAGACUUCAAUGUGACGGGACUUGUGAAUGGGAUCGACAUAGAGACUGUCUGUCCCAUGUUGAGCUACCAUCAUUUCCACACCGACUCGGCCACUUUCCUGGGAGGUGUGGGAGGCGAGGAGGUGCACCUCGGGAAGGAUCGACUCGUCCUAGACCGCGGGUUCGCCGAUUCCUUCUGGAGGAGCGACCGGCCGGCGCUUCUUCCCAACGGCGUCGCCUUCGACACGGUGGCGGCGGUGCACAUCACGACAAAUUCCAUGGUCAACCAAGUGAAUCUGAAGGACCUCGACACCUCGGUCCUUCGUAAGUACUGCGCGGGAGGAAGCCAAGAGGUCGCAGGCUCUUUCUCCUUCGCCAACUUAACUGUCUCUUCACUUCAGUCGACUUCCAUACAGAUGGAAACCCUUGACGAGUGGACAGCGAAUGACCUCUUGAACAUCAUGACCCGGGACGAGACCCAGUUCAUCUCGGGUCAAAUGUAUUUCGAUAAUGUAUUUGUGCUUGCUCCCCUUUCCUUCCACAGGGAGCAUCGAGCCCUUUUCCACUGUGGGAGGGCUGGAGGUGUCCGAGUUCUGCCGCCGGGGGUCGCCCUGCUCCGUGGAGGCACCCAAGGUCUUCGCCAACCUCACGGUCGUCGGCAAUCACACGGUGCAGAACUUGAGUACCGUGCAGGGAGUGGAUGUGUCGGAGGCUUUCGAGGGCGCCGUCACGAACACCACCUGCGGAUUCAUUCCCGGCCGCACCACCUUCGUAGGACGGCUCAACAUGACGUCCUUGUGGACCCCCGGCUUGGUCGAUGGCGUGAACAUGACUUCGCUUGAACUGCUGACCCUCUCGGAAGGCCAGGUCAUGCAAGGCGCUCUUUCCGUUGUGGCUGGAAGUGGAGGAACUGCACUUACGGUCGAAAAUCUCACUUCUGACGACGGCUACUUCAACUCGAUGAAUCUGACAGAUUUGUGGAACACAGCUGUCCGUCUCGACCGAGAGAACGUGGUGAGCGGGCAGGUCCACUUCCAAGGCGCGGUGACCUUCCAAGACGUCGAGCUUCACAAGACCCUCGAUGGCGUCUUGGCCCUGAUUGAUUCGCCUCCAGACGUGUCGGCGCUCGCCCUGCCUUAUGAAUACACUUACAAUAUAUCGCGCAUCAACCACCAUGUUCUGGAA
Molecule: unclassified non-coding RNA, 10821 nt
Filed under: Penaeus japonicus
Lineage: Eukaryota; Metazoa; Arthropoda; Malacostraca; Decapoda; Penaeidae
Description: uncharacterized LOC122259439, transcript variant X1
Source: RNAcentral